Molecule: ribosomal RNA, 270 nt
Filed under: uncultured archaeon
Lineage: Archaea
Description: partial 16S ribosomal RNA
Rfam family: Archaeal small subunit ribosomal RNA
Source: RNAcentral
CAGCACCUCAAGUGGUCAGGAUGAUUAUUGGGCCUAAAGCAUCCGUAGCCGGCUCUGUAAGUUUUCGGUUAAAUCUGUAUGCUCAACAUACAGGCUGCCGGGAAUACUGCAGCGCUAGGGAGUGGGAGAGGUAGACGGUACUCGGUAGGAAGGGGUAAAAUCCUUUGAUCUAUUGAUGACCACCUGUGGCGAAGGCGGUCUACCAGAACACGUCCGACGGUGAGGGAUGAAAGCUGGGGGAGCAAACCGGAUUAGAUACCCGAGUAGUCC